RNAcentral lists this ribosomal RNA (468 nucleotides) under uncultured bacterium. RNAcentral's name for it is "partial 16S ribosomal RNA". It matches the Rfam family "Bacterial small subunit ribosomal RNA", at positions 28 to 507 of the family's 1533-position model. The record is from RNAcentral.
GACGAACGCUGGCGGCGUGCUUAACACAUGCAAGUCGAACGGAAAGGCCCUGCUUUUGUGGGGUGCUCGAGUGGCGAACGGGUGAGUAACACGUGAGUAACCUGCCCUUGACUUUGGGAUAACUUCAGGAAACUGGGGCUAAUACCGGAUAGGAGCUCCUGCUGCAUGGUGGGGGUUGGAAAGUUUCGGCGGUUGGGGAUGGACUCGCGGCUUAUCAGCUUGUUGGUGGGGUAGUGGAUUACCAAGGCUUUGACGGGUAGCCGGCCUGAGAGGGUGACCAGCCACAUUGGGACUAAGAGACGGCGCAGAAUCCUACGGGAGGCAGCAGUGGGGAAUAUUGCACAAUGGGCGGAAGCCUGAUGCAGCAACGCCGCGUGCGGGAUGACGGCCUUCGGGUUGUAAACCGCUUUCGCCUGUGACGAAGCGUGAGUGACGGUAAUGGGUAAAGAAGCACCGGCUAACUACGUG